UCGAUGAAGAACGCAGCGAAAUGCGAUAAGUAAUGUGAAUUGCAGAAUUCAGUGAAUCAUCGAAUCUUUGAACGCACCUUGCGCUCUUUGGUAUUCCGAAGAGCAUGCCUGUUUGAGUGUCAAUU
This 125-nucleotide ribosomal RNA is filed under the name Gerhardtia highlandensis. Its description in RNAcentral is "partial 5.8S ribosomal RNA". It matches the Rfam family "5.8S ribosomal RNA", at positions 33 to 154 of the family's 154-position model. From Rfam's summary of the family: 5.8S ribosomal RNA (5.8S rRNA) is a component of the large subunit of the eukaryotic ribosome. It is transcribed by RNA polymerase I as part of the 45S precursor that also contains 18S and 28S rRNA. Functionally, it is thought that 5.8S rRNA may be involved in ribosome translocation. The record is from RNAcentral. Lineage: Eukaryota; Fungi; Basidiomycota; Agaricomycetes; Agaricales; Lyophyllaceae.